GAUGAACGCUGGCGGCGUGCCUAAUACAUGCAAGUCGAGCGAACGGACGAGAAGCUUGCUUCUCUGACGUUAGCGGCGGACGGGUGAGUAACACGUGGAUAACCUACCUAUAAGACUGGGAUAACUUCGGGAAACCGGAGCUAAUACCGGAUAAUAUUUUGAACCGCAUGGUUCAAAAGUGAAAGACGGUCUUGCUGUCACUUAUAGAUGGAUCCGCGCCGCAUUAGCUAGUUGGUAAGGUAACGGCUUACCAAGGCAACGAUGCAUAGCCGACCUGAGAGGGUGAUCGGCCACACUGGAACUGAGACACGGUCCAGACUCCUACGGGAGGCAGCAGUAGGGAAUCUUCCGCAAUGGGCGAAAGCCUGACGGAGCAACGCCGCGUGAGUGAUGAAGGUCUUCGGAUCGUAAAACUCUGUUAUUAGGGAAGAACAUAUGUGUAAGUAACUGUGCACAUCUUGACGGUACCUAAUCAGAAAGCCACGGCUAACUACGUG
This 497-nucleotide ribosomal RNA is filed under the name uncultured bacterium. RNAcentral describes it as "partial 16S ribosomal RNA". It matches the Rfam family "Bacterial small subunit ribosomal RNA", at positions 28 to 507 of the family's 1533-position model. The record is from RNAcentral.